GACGGGGGGUCCUAGCGUUGUUCGGAAUCAUUGGGCGUAAAGCGUGUGCAGGCUGUUCGAUAAGUUGGAUGUGAAAGCCUUGGGCUCAGCCCAAGAAGUGCAUUCAAAACUAUCAGACUUGAGUACGGAAGAGGAUCGUGGAAUUCCUAGUGUAGUGGUGAAAUACGUAGAUAUUAGGAGGAACACCGGUUGCGAAGGCGGCGAUCUGGUCCAGUACUGACGCUCAUACACGAAAGCGUGGGGAUCAAACAGG
RNAcentral lists this ribosomal RNA (253 nucleotides) under uncultured bacterium. RNAcentral describes it as "partial 16S ribosomal RNA". It matches the Rfam family "Bacterial small subunit ribosomal RNA", at positions 524 to 776 of the family's 1533-position model. The record is from RNAcentral.